RNAcentral lists this ribosomal RNA (492 nucleotides) under uncultured bacterium. RNAcentral describes it as "partial 16S ribosomal RNA". It matches the Rfam family "Bacterial small subunit ribosomal RNA", at positions 29 to 507 of the family's 1533-position model. The record is from RNAcentral.
AGUGAACGCUGGCGGUAGGCCUAACACAUGCAAGUCGAACGGCAGCACAGUAAGAGCUUGCUCUUACGGGUGGCGAGUGGCGGACGGGUGAGGAAUACAUCGGAAUCUACUUUUUCGUGGGGGAUAACGUAGGGAAACUUACGCUAAUACCGCAUACGACCUACGGGUGAAAGCAGGGGAUCUUCGGACCUUGCGCGAUUGAAUGAGCCGAUGUCGGAUUAGCUAGUUGGCGGGGUAAAGGCCCACCAAGGCGACGAUCCGUAGCUGGUCUGAGAGGAUGAUCAGCCACACUGGAACUGAGGCACGGUCCAGACUCCUACGGGAGGCAGCAGUGGGGAAUAUUGGACAAUGGGCGCAAGCCUGAUCCAGCCAUACCGCGUGGGUGAAGAAGGCCUUCGGGUUGUAAAGCCCUUUUGUUGGGAAAGAAAAGCAGCAGGUUAAUACCCCGCUGUUCUGACGGUACCCAAAGAAUAAGCACCGGCUAACGUCGUG